NNNNNNNNNNNNNNNNNNAGAUGGGGGGCACCGGGGGGCGCCUAGGGGAAGGGAGGGAUUGGGGGGGGGGCUUUGUCCCCCGGGCGCGGGGCGCUGGGUUGUGGGAAGGGGCCCCCCCCCAUGUCUACGGUUUGGUUCGGUGCGUGCCCCACGAUUUUGGGGUGUCCCCCUUCCCCAUUUGCUGCCUGUGUCCUUUGUAGGGACAGGGAUGGUCACGGGGCUGUCACCUCAUAGGGGUGCAGGGGGUGCCCGUGACCCCAAACCUGCCCCUGUUAGGGGCAGGGGGUGCCCACAUCCCUGGGGCCGUUUGGGGGUCCCCGUGUCCACUUGGGGUGAUCAUGGGGUGCCUGUGCCCCCAUCCCCGUCCCUGUUAGGACUGUUUGUCCCUGUUAGGGGCUGUUUGGGGGUGCCCAUGUCCCCGUGUCCGCUUGGGGAGGUCAGGGGGUGCCCGUGCCCCUAUCCCAACCCGUUUUGGGGGCACCCAUGUCCCCAGACCCACCGGGGAACAGGGAAUUGCCUGCACCUCCCUCUCUGCCCUGCUUAUGGGGUGCCCACGUCCCCAUCUCCGUCCCCAUUAGGGACGUGGCUGCCCGUGUCCCCGUGCCCACUUAGGGGGCAGCGGGUGCCCCCGUCCCCAUUAGGGCCGGGGUGCCUCCGUGCCCGCAGCCCCGGCCGUGCCGCGCUCCCCUCCCGCCCCCCCCCGGCCCUAAUUGUGCCAGCGGGGCGCCGACAAUGCCGCCUCAGUGGCACAUCAAAGGCACGGCGCUGGCGACGCGAGGCCACCGCUGGCACCGCGACAGCCCCACGUGAAAGCCCCCCCCGGCUCCCACCUCGGGCCCCCCUUCCCUGUCCCCCCGGCUGGGGGGGGGACACACCGCGGGGACACGCUCCCUUGGGUCCCCCGGGGACCGUCCCCGUACCCCGUCCCGUAUGGCCCUACCCGAACCGUCCCCUCUUUGCCCAGGUGGCACGGGGUCACUCUGUGGGGUCACCGUUUGGUGCCCACGGCACCGCCGCCGCUGGGAUUUGCCCCCGGUCCCACGGCACCGCCGUGCGCCCCCGCUCAGCCCCGUCCCCGGUGCCAACCCCAUUAACCUAAUUGGCACCGGCGGCGGUGGCGGUGG
Molecule: long non-coding RNA, 1124 nt
Filed under: Anser cygnoides (Swan goose)
Lineage: Eukaryota; Metazoa; Chordata; Aves; Anseriformes; Anatidae
Description: lncRNA (ENSACDG00005014772.1)
Source: RNAcentral